RNAcentral lists this non-coding RNA (107 nucleotides) under Marinomonas aquimarina. Its description in RNAcentral is "TPP sequence". It matches the Rfam family "TPP riboswitch aptamer (THI element)". Rfam says of the family: Vitamin B(1) in its active form thiamin pyrophosphate (TPP) is an essential coenzyme that is synthesised by coupling of pyrimidine and thiazole moieties in bacteria. The previously detected thiamin-regulatory element, thi box was extended, resulting in a new, highly conserved RNA secondary structure, the THI element, which is widely distributed in eubacteria and also occurs in some archaea. Analysis of operon structures identified a large number of new candidate thiamin-regulated genes, mostly transporters, in various prokaryotic organisms. Lineage: Bacteria; Pseudomonadati; Pseudomonadota; Gammaproteobacteria; Oceanospirillales; Oceanospirillaceae. The record is from Rfam by way of RNAcentral.
AUUUAUCUCAUGGGGUGUGGCAUCUAGCUGCUGAGAAACCAUUAUUGGUUAACCCACUGAACCUGAACCAGAUCAUGCUGGCGUAGGAAUUGAGAUAGCAAGCCCUU